GAGAGUUUGAUCAUGGCUCAGAUUGAACGCUGGCGGCAUGCCUUACACAUGCAAGUCGAACGGCAGCACGGGGGGCAACCCUGGUGGCGAGUGGCGAACGGGUGAGUAACAUAUCGGAACAUACCCUAGAGUGGGGGAUAACGUAGCGAAAGUUACGCUAAUACCGCAUACGAUCUAAGGAUGAAAGUGGGGGAUCUUCGGACCUCAUGCUCAUGGAGUGGCCGAUAUCUGAUUAGCUAGUUGGUAGAGUAAAAGCCUACCAAGGCGACGAUCGGUAGCUGGUCUGAGAGGAUGAUCAGCCACACUGGAACUGAGACACGGUCCAGACUCCUACGGGAGGCAGCAGUGGGGAAUUUUGGACAAUGGGGCAACCCUGAUCCAGCCAUUCCGCGUGAGUGAAGAAGGCCUUCGGGUUGUAAAGCUCUUUCGGCAGGAACGAAACGGUCGUUGCUAAUACCAGCGGCUAAUGACGGUACCUGAAGAAGAAGCACCGGCUAACUACGUG
RNAcentral lists this ribosomal RNA (505 nucleotides) under uncultured bacterium. Its description in RNAcentral is "bacterial SSU rRNA". It matches the Rfam family "Bacterial small subunit ribosomal RNA", at positions 7 to 507 of the family's 1533-position model. The record is from RNAcentral.